ACAGCAGUUAAAUACGUGGAUGGUGAAAGGCAACAGUGGAGAAGAGCACAGGCAAGGAGUGAAUGAGACAGACAUGAGGUCGGCGAUGGCUAGAGAUGAGCCCAGUGAUGACAUCAGUUGUUGGGUGUAUAAGGGAUGGACAGGAGGGAGAGUACAGAGCGCUGGUGGACAUCUUUGUGGAGUGGGCUGGUAAGAAGAAUCACCUGCUGCUGAACGUGGAUAAGACCAGAGAGGUGGUGACUGACUUCAGGAGGAAGGGAACAGCUCUGCAGCCCAUUUGCAUUCUGGGUGGAGUGAUUACGGUGGCCCAGACGGUUCAACACAAACACAAAACCUACAACACAAACACAAAAGCUACAACACAAACACA
Molecule: long non-coding RNA, 370 nt
Organism: Perca flavescens (yellow perch)
Lineage: Eukaryota; Metazoa; Chordata; Actinopteri; Perciformes; Percidae
Exons: 3
Source: RefSeq, a predicted model, not a curated record